This 882-nucleotide ribosomal RNA is filed under the name uncultured bacterium. RNAcentral's name for it is "bacterial SSU rRNA". It matches the Rfam family "Bacterial small subunit ribosomal RNA", at positions 14 to 891 of the family's 1533-position model. The record is from RNAcentral.
UGAUCCUGGCUCAGAUUGAACGCUGGCGGCAGGCCUAACACAUGCAAGUCGAGCGGUAGAGAGAAGCUUGCUUCUCUUGAGAGCGGCGGACGGGUGAGUAAUGCCUAGGAAUCUGCCUGGUAGUGGGGGAUAACGUCCGGAAACGGACGCUAAUACCGCAUACGUCCUACGGGAGAAAGCAGGGGACCUUCGGGCCUUGCGCUAUCAGAUGAGCCUAGGUCGGAUUAGCUAGUUGGUGAGGUAAUGGCUCACCAAGGCGACGAUCCGUAACUGGUCUGAGAGGAUGAUCAGUCACACUGGAACUGAGACACGGUCCAGACUCCUACGGGAGGCAGCAGUGGGGAAUAUUGGACAAUGGGCGAAAGCCUGAUCCAGCCAUGCCGCGUGUGUGAAGAAGGUCUUCGGAUUGUAAAGCACUUUAAGUUGGGAGGAAGGGUACUUACCUAAUACGUGAGUAUUUUGACGUUACCGACAGAAUAAGCACCGGCUAACUCUGUGCCAGCAGCCGCGGUAACACAGAGGGUGCAAGCGUUAAUCGGAAUUACUGGGCGUAAAGCGCGCGUAGGUGGUUCGUUAAGUUGGAUGUGAAAUCCCCGGGCUCAACCUGGGAACUGCAUCCAAAACUGGCGAGCUAGAGUAUGGUAGAGGGUGGUGGAAUUUCCUGUGUAGCGGUGAAAUGCGUAGAUAUAGGAAGGAACACCAGUGGCGAAGGCGACCACCUGGACUGAUACUGACACUGAGGUGCGAAAGCGUGGGGAGCAAACAGGAUUAGAUACCCUGGUAGUCCACGCCGUAAACGAUGUCAACUAGCCGUUGGGAGCCUUGAGCUCUUAGUGGCGCAGCUAACGCAUUAAGUUGACCGCCUGGGGAGCACGGCCGCAA